AUGGCCGCGCCCUGCAUUCACGUUGUCUUUCUCCUUUGUCUGGUCCCAGCCACCGUCGCCUCACCUCAUCGUAAUCUACGCAAAUCCCCGGUCGACAUCGCCGCGGCCCCGACCGUCUCCGGCAGAUGCGUCGCGGCCGACCACCUUCUUCGAGGUGGACCGCCCGCUCCGCCCGCCACCGGACAGCUCCGGCCCGUGCUCCACGCUCCUGCUAUCCAGCUCCUUCGCCUUCACCUUCACCAAGCUGCCCGCCAUCGCCGCCUACUCCCCGCCGCGCUGCCUCGCCGCGGCGGGCGGCCGCGCCUCAGCGAUCUCCCUUGCCGUCCUCGAGUGGCAUGCCACCUGCCGGGGACUCCAGUUCGACAUGAUCUUCGGUGUCUGGCACGGCGGCGCCAACUCCUCCGCGGCAGCACCGCCGAGCCGCUGCAAAACGGCGUCGUCUGGUCCGUCUCCAAGGACAUCACCAGGUACGCGUCCCUCCUCGCCGCCGGCAACUCCACCCUCGCCGUCUUCGUCGAGAACCUCGUCAACAACCAGUACACCGGCGUGUACUAUGCCAACGUGACGCUCCACCUCUACUUCCGCCGCACGCCGACGAGGCCGCCGCCCGCUGUGGCUCCCGCCGACCUCAUCGUCCCGAUGUCCAGAGGCUUACCUCUCAACGACGGGCUCUGGUACAAGAUCGAGAACGCUACCGACGUCACGGCCAAGAGCGUCGUGUUGCCAUCCAACACCUACUGCGCGGUCCUCCAACUCUACGUCUCGUUCCACGGGGAUGACGAUUAG
RNAcentral lists this ribosomal RNA (786 nucleotides) under Triticum aestivum (bread wheat). RNAcentral's name for it is "partial small subunit ribosomal RNA". Lineage: Eukaryota; Viridiplantae; Streptophyta; Magnoliopsida; Poales; Poaceae. The record is from RNAcentral.